AUACUACCUGGCAGGGGAGAUACCAUGAUCACAAAGGUGGUUUUCCCAGGGCGAGGCUUAUCCAUUGCACUCCAGAUGUGCUGACCCCUGCAAUUUCCCCAAAUGUGGGAAACUCGACUGCAUAAUUUGUGGUAGUGGGGGACUGCGUUCGCGCUUUCCCCUG
Otolemur garnettii (small-eared galago) is the source of this 163-nucleotide small nuclear RNA. Its record names the gene U1. It matches the Rfam family "U1 spliceosomal RNA". From Rfam's summary of the family: U1 is a small nuclear RNA (snRNA) component of the spliceosome (involved in pre-mRNA splicing). The record is from Ensembl. Lineage: Eukaryota; Metazoa; Chordata; Mammalia; Primates; Galagidae.